Molecule: ribosomal RNA, 810 nt
Filed under: uncultured bacterium
Lineage: Bacteria
Description: bacterial SSU rRNA
Rfam family: Bacterial small subunit ribosomal RNA
Source: RNAcentral
ACACAUGCAAGUCGAACGCGAAAGCCCGCAAGGGUAAGUAGAGUGGCGCACGGGUGAGUAACACGUGGACAACCUGCCUUCGAGUGGGGAAUAACCUUCCGAAAGGAGGGCUAAUACCGCAUAACACUUCGGAACACAAGUUCUGGAGUUGAAAAGAGCAAUUUGCUCGAAGAGGGGUCCGCGCCUGAUUAGCUAGUUGGUGAGGUAACGGCUCACCAAGGCUUCGAUCAGUAGCCGUCCUGAGAGGGAGCACGGCCACACUGGAACUGAGACACGGUCCAGACUCCUACGGGAGGCAGCAGUGGGGAAUUUUUGGCAAUGGGCGAAAGCCUGACCAAGCAACGCCGCGUGGGUGAUGAAGUAUCUUGGUACGUAAAACCCUUUCGGCAGGGACGAACCUAAUGACGGUACCUGCGGAAGAAGCCCCGGCUAACUCCGUGCCAGCAGCCGCGGUAAUACGGGGGGGGCAAGCGUUGUUCGGAAUUACUGGGCGUAAAGGGCGCGUAGGCGGUUGGAUAAGUCAGCUGUGAAAACCACGGGCUUAACUCGUGGCCUGCAGUUGAGACUGUCUGGCUUGAGUGUGGGAGAGGAGAGUGGAAUUCCUGGUGUAGCGGUGAAAUGCGUAGAUAUCAGGAGGAACACCGGUGGCGAAGGCGGCUCUCUGGACCACAACUGACGCUGAGGCGCGAAAGCUAGGGGAGCAAACAGGAUUAGAUACCCUGGUAGUCCUAGCUGUAAACGAUGGAUACUUGCUGUGGGGGGGUGUUAAAUCCCCCUGUGGCGGAGCUAACGCAUUAAGUAUCCCGCCUG